Molecule: transfer RNA, 73 nt
Filed under: Prunella rubeculoides (robin accentor)
Lineage: Eukaryota; Metazoa; Chordata; Aves; Passeriformes; Prunellidae
Description: tRNA-Pro
Rfam family: tRNA
About the family: Transfer RNA (tRNA) molecules are approximately 80 nucleotides in length. Their secondary structure includes four short double-helical elements and three loops (D, anti-codon, and T loops). Further hydrogen bonds mediate the characteristic L-shaped molecular structure. tRNAs have two regions of fundamental functional importance: the anti-codon, which is responsible for specific mRNA codon recognition, and the 3' end, to which the tRNAs corresponding amino acid is attached (by aminoacyl-tRNA synthetases). tRNAs cope with the degeneracy of the genetic code in two manners: having more than one tRNA (with a specific anti-codon) for a particular amino acid; and 'wobble' base-pairing, i.e. permitting non-standard base-pairing at the 3rd anti-codon position.
Source: RNAcentral
UCAGGAAGUAGUUUAGCUUGAAAAUGCCAGCUUUGGGAGUUGGUGAUAAAGGUUUAAGUCCUUUCUUCUUGAG